Molecule: ribosomal RNA, 207 nt
Filed under: uncultured bacterium
Lineage: Bacteria
Description: partial 16S ribosomal RNA
Rfam family: Bacterial small subunit ribosomal RNA
Source: RNAcentral
AGCGUAGACGGAUGGACAAGUCUGAUGUGAAAGGCUGGGGCUCAACCCCGGGACUGCAUUGGAAACUGCCCGUCUUGAGUGCCGGAGAGGUAAGCGGAAUUCCUAGUGUAGCGGUGAAAUGCGUAGAUAUUAGGAGGAACACCAGUGGCGAAGGCGGCUUACUGGACGGUAACUGACGUUGAGGCUCGAAAGCGUGGAGAGCAAACA